UCAUUUUCUUGGAUCAUGUUAAGUUUAUGUGAUAGUUGUAGUAAAGCUUUAUAUUUAGGACUAUCAACAUAAUAUCAAUGGUUAGUAAAGAUGGCGAGACAUUUUAGCGUGUGCACUCUUGUUUUUAUAAACCUAAGUAUUUUCUUUUAUGUUACUGUUUUUAGCAAGGUCUGUUUCCAUCGACUGUGUUUCUUGAAUAACCGAUCCUUUGCAUGUUCACCUGCUGCAGCAGUAGCACCGUCUGAUCUGAGGCUGCAAAUACCAAAAUAUUUAUCUAAACCUGCUGAUUUACAAAAAACAUAAAUGAGGAAAGAUAAAAUCUGUACUAUUUGAUUCGAUAUCUGCUUUUGACAAAUAUCUGAGUUACAUGUAUGCUAACAGGACAUGUGACAUUAUCUUUACUAGAAAUAACAACUUCUCUACCUUCACGAUAAACAUUGGUUUUUGAUAGCUUCUAUAAGGGAGCUACCAUUUGAUUUUUAUGGGGGGGGGGGGGGGGCUAGGAUUGAAUUUGAAAAAAAAUAGGCAGGACAGCAGUUUUGAGUAAAAAAAAAAAGCAGGAUGCGACACUUUGCAAAAAAAAGGCAGGAUGACAAUUUAUGUAAAAAAAAGUCAGAAUAAACUAAAAAAAAAAAAGGCAGGACCGAAUAGAGUGAAAAAUAAAAAGGCAGGACAGAGAUUACUACUAAAAAAAAAGGCAGGACAAUAUUUUUCAUCCUAGCAUCCCCCCCAUAAAAAUCAAUGGCAGCUCCCUAAACCGUCACAAAAUGAAUUAUGAUGGCGCUUAAUGCCACAUUGCUAGAUAACUCUGAAUAUCUUCAAAAUGAUCUUAGAAAACCUGAGUAACUCUAUAUGCACAUGAGUCAUGAUGCUUGGAAUUCUAAACUCUUUCAAAUGUGAAGUACACUAUUUGUUUUAGAAUUUCUUGUGUAACGUACUGGAUCCAUCUCAACAUUGUUAUGUCCAAUCAAUCUCAUAGAUCCCUCUUUAACAGUGACGACUAAAUUAGACUCACAUGAAUUUCGUAACACCUGCUAACUUAUGAACCCAGUUAAUACUAUAAAUUGAUUCGUUAAUGCUACUUGAAACCCUUGUCAUCCCAGUAACUUAUUGGAAAGUCAUGGACCAAAUCCUGGCUUUGUGAUUCUACUCUUGUUUGUAACAAUUUUACAUUUAUCAUCACUCUAUGACCUUUUAUUUAUUGAAAUCGUAUGGUAUAGGCAAGCAAUUAAUCUUCAGCCAAUGCUUAUCACCAUGGCAAAAAAAAAGAAUUAUUUUAGCAGUCUAACGGUUCAAGGCACUACUUUCAUUUUCGUUUAAUUAGAUCUAAACAACAGAUAUUUUUUAAUUUUACUUGUCGUUGUUUUCUUGUUAUUGUUUGUUAAGCUUUUGUUUGUUUUCCUUUUAAUUUAUUGCUGGUAGUAUAGUAAAGAUUGUUAUUUAUAGUUAUGUCUUUCUAGGUUAAUGUGAUGGCUGUAUGUCUGUGUACAAGAGAGUCUGUGAAAAUGACGAGGGCCAACAGAGUUGAUGAUGGUCAUAUCCUUAAUAUCAACAGGUUAAACCUUUAUGGCAGGUGUAGUUUUAAAUCAAAUAGAUUAAUAUAGAGUAUCAGUCCAGGCUAAGUGAAGACUAAUUUUGCCUAUACUACAGUUGGAGAAGCUGCAGCUGACGAAUGUAACAAUACAAGACAAAGUCUGGAUCCUCAGGACAUAGCCAAUGCCAUUGAAACAGUUUUAUAUUUCCCAUCACAUGUUCAGGUUAGACAAGGGUACCAUCAAUGUAUGAGAAAAAGGAGAGGCAGUCGUACGUUAUCGUCUACAGAUUCUAUCAAUAUUAGUUCUCAACGAAGAAUACAUCGGCUGCAAAGUGAUCCCAACAAACAUAUACCUCACCUGCCAAAUGAAGAAUUUAAGAACCCAUCAGACAACUGAGAGGAACAAUUUCCAAAUUAUGCAAAGGACAAAACUCAAAAUGAAGAAAAUUCUAUAUACAACUUCUACAGCCUGACAAGAACUGUAUAUUAUGACUCCAAAUGUGACAAUAGAGGGUAUUCGCCAUUCGCUAAUCCGAAAUAAAAGUGUGGUUCUAUGGAAGUCAUCUAUGCACGAGCUGACUAACAAUAUAUCAUCUUCACUUUACUCACACUAGUUUUUAUUUAUCUUUCAUUAUUAUUUUGGUCAAAAUUUGAAACUUAAUAACAUGGUGCAUGUGAAUUGUCAACAUUAAUGAGACUUCUAUUUUAAUUUUGCCUCUUUGUCUAAAUGGUUUUCACAUAUUAUUAUAUAUCUCUGCUAUCAUACCAUACUCAUUCAUAGUGUUAUAUACCUAGCUGUUAUUUGAAUUUAUGUUUUAAUAACCUCCAAGUCAUUUACAUAAAAAUAAACCUAUUUUUGUGUGUU
Molecule: long non-coding RNA, 2399 nt
Organism: Mytilus californianus (California mussel)
Lineage: Eukaryota; Metazoa; Mollusca; Bivalvia; Mytilida; Mytilidae
Exons: 4
Source: RefSeq, a predicted model, not a curated record